UGCAGUCGAACGGUAGCACAGAGAGCUUGCUCUCGGGUGACGAGUGGCGGACGGGUGAGUAAUGUCUGGGAAACUGCCUGAUGGAGGGGGAUAACUACUGGAAACGGUAGCUAAUACCGCAUAACGUCGCAAGACCAAAGAGGGGGACCUUCGGGCCUCUUGCCAUCAGAUGUGCCCAGAUGGGAUUAGCUAGUAGGUGGGGUAACGGCUCACCUAGGCGACGAUCCCUAGCUGGUCUGAGAGGAUGACCAGCCACACUGGAACUGAGACACGGUCCAGACUCCUACGGGAGGCAGCAGUGGGGAAUAUUGCACAAUGGGCGCAAGCCUGAUGCAGCCAUGCCGCGUGUAUGAAGAAGGCCUUCGGGUUGUAAAGUACUUUCAGCGGGGAGGAAGGUGUUGUGGUUAAUAACCGCAGCAAUUGACGUUACCCGCAGAAGAAGCACCGGCUAACUCCGUGCCAGCAGCCGCGGUAAUACGGAGGGUGCAAGCGUUAAUCGGAAUUACUGGGCGUAAAGCGCACGCAGGCGGUCUGUCAAGUCGGAUGUGAAAUCCCCGGGCUCAACCUGGGAACUGCAUUCGAAACUGGCAGGCUAGAGUCUUGUAGAGGGGGGUAGAAUUCCAGGUGUAGCGGUGAAAUGCGUAGAGAUCUGGAGGAAUACCGGUGGCGAAGGCGGCCCCCUGGACAAAGACUGACGCUCAGGUGCGAAAGCGU
This 714-nucleotide ribosomal RNA is filed under the name Enterobacter sp. M18(2010). RNAcentral describes it as "bacterial SSU rRNA". It matches the Rfam family "Bacterial small subunit ribosomal RNA", at positions 56 to 762 of the family's 1533-position model. Lineage: Bacteria; Pseudomonadati; Pseudomonadota; Gammaproteobacteria; Enterobacterales; Enterobacteriaceae. The record is from RNAcentral.